UCAGAGAGCGGAAGUUCGCGAUCUCGGCCGGUGAUCAGUUGCAUGGUCCAAUGGUGCAGUUCGGCAGUCACCGCAUUUGGACAGGAAUAUUUUAGAGUGGUGGCCUGACUUUUCAGCUCCAUCACUAUCAAGCUUUCCUCUUGACUCAGGGUAAAGUGCUUCGGAAGCAGGGGCCCUUGGUACCACCAGCUACGGGGGAAGUCCUCGAAACAGCUCGGAUCUUUGCUCCUCAGAAUGAAGAAACGGUUCUUCCAAUUCUUAAGGGAU
Molecule: unclassified non-coding RNA, 267 nt
Filed under: Hevea brasiliensis (rubber tree)
Lineage: Eukaryota; Viridiplantae; Streptophyta; Magnoliopsida; Malpighiales; Euphorbiaceae
Source: RNAcentral